Molecule: ribosomal RNA, 253 nt
Filed under: uncultured bacterium
Lineage: Bacteria
Description: partial 16S ribosomal RNA
Rfam family: Bacterial small subunit ribosomal RNA
Source: RNAcentral
UACGGAGGGGGCUAGCGUUGUUCGGAAUUACUGGGCGUAAAGCGCACGUAGGCGGCUUUGCAAGUUAGAGGUGAAAGCCCGGGGCUCAACUCCGGAAUUGCCUUUAAAACUGCAUCGCUAGAAUUGUGGAGAGGUAAGUGGAAUUCCGAGUGUAGAGGUGAAAUUCGUAGAUAUUCGGAAGAACACCAGUGGCGAAGGCGACUUACUGGACGCAUAUUGACGCUGAGGUGCGAAAGCGUGGGGAGCAAACAGG